This 582-nucleotide long non-coding RNA is filed under the name Homo sapiens (human). RNAcentral describes it as "non-protein coding lnc-CDC42SE1-1:1". Lineage: Eukaryota; Metazoa; Chordata; Mammalia; Primates; Hominidae. The record is from RNAcentral.
CCUGGCUUUGUGCAUUGGGUUCUGGUGCCUGAUGGACACAUUUUUCCAGUUACAGGCCGAAUGGUCUCAAUGUAGCUGAAGAACUGUGCCCACUGAUCAGUAUUACGUAUUGCAAAUGCAGGAGGUGGCUGUAUCUGACAGACCCAGGCCUUCCAGCUCCGACAGAUCCAGUUCUGGGAUGGGCAUCCUCCAGAAAAGAAAGGAACUGUACUGGCUACUCACAGGGUCCCUCAUAGCUUCCUAGAAAGAAACCACUUGUCAGUCUUCAUGCUACAGCAACUUCUUUGUGGCCCAUGGCCUUUCCUUGCUUAGAUACUCCACAUACUGUUCUCCCCGCAGGGGCGGCGGCCUUGAGGGGCUGCAGAGGCACCCUCCCACGUCCCGCGCAGUGCAGUGCCUCCGCAGUCCAGAGGGGAGCAGUGCGCCGGGCUCCGAGCCGGACGGGUUUCGUAAUCGCGUCGCCGCCGCUUCCGCCCUCAGCCGGCCCCACCUCUGCCGGCUCGUACUCGGCUCCCCCACCUCGCCGCAGAGCUAGCCCGGGAAGCCCACACUGGCGGCCACGGAGCAGAGUCCCUCACCCCC